Mauremys mutica (yellowpond turtle) is the source of this 490-nucleotide long non-coding RNA. RefSeq lists it as uncharacterized. Lineage: Eukaryota; Metazoa; Chordata; Testudines; Geoemydidae. The transcript is spliced from 3 exons. The record is from RefSeq and is a predicted model, not a curated record.
AUUGUCUUUUGAUCUAUCUGCUAGUUUAAGGUCCAUAGUAUGCCACAGGCCCAGUUAUUUUAUGUAGUAGAGCGAGUGGUGUAUGUCUAGCUCUAUAGUUAAUGUUGGUUAUGAUCCAAAUCAGAGGUUGUGCAUUGAAUGUUAUUGAACUGUGGAAAGUUCAUAUGUGGUUAUAACCUACUAAAAGGAAGCAUGGAUUUGCUUUAACAUCAGUUGUGCUGAAACACAUGGAGCUACAGAUGUUCGAUUUGAAAGCAGGUGAUUUAUAUGGAACAGCACCAUGUCUGGCAGUUCAGCGGAAAUGUUCCAUCUCUGAAAGGCCAGAGAGGGGUAUAGCUGAGCUCCAAGAGGCAACAGAAAAGAAUAAAAGGUCAGAGUACCAGGAAUCUCAUGGAUGGAUUUCUUCAUGCAAGAGAACGCUUCACCCCAUCUUUCAAUAGUAAACCUGACUAUAAAAAGUCAGUGAAAUAAAAGUCGAGCUGAACAAAGC